Molecule: ribosomal RNA, 2297 nt
Filed under: human gut metagenome
Description: bacterial LSU rRNA
Rfam family: Bacterial large subunit ribosomal RNA
Source: RNAcentral
AGAGCAUAGGGUGGAUGCCUAGGCACUGAGAGCCGAUGAAAGACGUGAUAAGCUGCGAUAAGCUGCGGUAAGGAGCAAAUAUCCAUUGACCCGCAGAUUUCUGAAUGGGGAAACCUACGCAAGAAGACCUUGCGUACUCAUACAUGAAUACAUAGUGUAUGAGAGGGAACCCGGGGAACUGAAACAUCUAAGUACCCGGAGGAAGAGAAAGAAACAUCGAUUUCCUGAGUAGCGGCGAGCGAAAGGGAAAGAGCCCAAACCAGAGGAUUUAUCCUCUGGGGUUAGGACUGCAUAAUUGAUCUGCAAUUGAUAGGAGAACGGUCUGGGAAGUCCGGCGAGAAAGCGUGAAAGCCGCGUAUCCGAAAUCGAAAGCAGCAAGGCAGUAUCCAGAGUACCACGAGACACGAGAAACCUUGUGGGAAUGAGCGGAGACCACUCCGUAAGGCUAAAUACUACUCAGUGACCGAUAGCGCAUAGUACUGUGAAGGAAAGGUGAAAAGGACCCCGGGAGGGGAGUGAAAGAGAACCUGAAACCCUGUGUUUACAAGCUGUCGAAGCACGAAAGUGCGACGGCGUACUUUUUGUAGAACGGUCCGGCGAGUUAUGAUGAGUGGUAAGGUUAAGGACUUAAGGUCCGGAGCCGAAGCGAAAGCGAGUGUUAAAAGCACGGUUGAAUCGCUUAUCAUAGACCCGAAACCGGGUGAUCUAUCCAUGUCCAGGUUGAAGCUGCCGUAAGAGGUAGUGGAGGACCGAACACACAUCCGUUGAAAAGGGUGGUGAUGAGGUGUGGAUAGGGGAGAAAUUCCAAUCGAACCCGGAGAUAGCUGGUUCUCCUCGAAAUAGCUUUAGGGCUAGCCUCUGGUUAGUCUGCCGCAGGUAGAGCACUGAAUUUCCUAGGGGGCGUCAAAGCCUACCGAAGAAUAUCAAACUGCGAAUGGCGGACAGAUGAUGCUGGGGAGUCAGACUGCACGAGAUAAGUUGGGUGGUCAAAAGGGAAAGAGCCCAGACCUACAGCUAAGGUCCCAAAGUGUGUGUUAAGUGGAAAAGGAUGUGGGAUUUCGAAGACAACUAGGAUGUUGGCUCAGAAGCAGCCACACAUUAAAAGAGUGCGUAAUAGCUCACUAGUCGAGAGGUCCUGCGCCGAAAAUGUCCGGGGCUAAAACACAACACCGAAGCUUAGGAAUUCUUUUGAAUUGGUAGAGGAGCAUUGAAGACGGAACGAAGCCAUACCGUAAGGAAUGGUGGACUGUCUUGAAGAGAGAAUGCCGGAAUGAGUAGCGAGAUUGAAGUGAGAAUCUUCAAGGCCGAAUAUCUAAGGUUUCCAGGGUAAAGCUGAUCUGCCCUGGGUAAGUCGGGGCCUAAGGCAAGGUCGAAAGACGUAGUCGAUGGAUAACAGGUUGAAAUUCCUGUACUGCAUCAAAUCAGAAAUGUGGGGACACAUGAGGGAAGCAUGAGCCGGAAAAGGAAAGUCCGGUACAAGCGCAGCAGAGGACAGAUAGGCAAAACCGUCUGUCAACUCAAGGGCGCGAUGUGGAGCGAACCAAAGUAGCGAAGCAUGUGGAGCUUGUGUCGAGAAAAGCCGCUAUAGUGUUUGAUGUACCCGUACCGUAAACCGACACAGGUGGAUGAGGAGAGAAUCCUAAGGCCGGCGGGAGAAGCAUUGUUAAGGAACUCGGCAAAAUGACCCCGUAACUUCGGGAGAAGGGGUGCUCCAGAGAUGGAGCCGCAGAGAACUGGCCCAAGCAACUGUUUAGCAAAAACACAGGUCUAUGCAAAACCGAAAGGUGAGGUAUAUGGGCUGACGCCUGCCCGGUGCUGGAAGGUUAAGAGGAGAGGUUAGCGCAAGCGAAGCUUUGAAUUUAAGCCCCAGUAAACGGCGGCCGUAACUAUAACGGUCCUAAGGUAGCGAAAUUCCUUGUCGGGUAAGUUCCGACCCGCACGAAAGGCGUAAUGAUUUGGGCACUGUCUCAACAAUGCACCCGGUGAAAUUGAAAUACCAGUGAAGAUGCUGGUUACCUGCGCCAGGACGGAAAGACCCCAUGGAGCUUUACUCUAGCUUGAUACUGGGGUUCGGUAUUGCAUGUACAGGAUAGGUGGGAGACUGAGAAGAUGUGUCGCCAGAUGCAUCAGAGUCGAUGUUGGGAUACCACCCCUGCAGUACUGGGCUUCUAACCUGCAGCCGUGACCCGGCUGGGGGACAAUGUCUGGUGGGGAGUUUGACUGGGGCGGUCGCCUCCGAAAGAGUAUCGGAGGCGCUCAAAGGUUCCCUCAGAAUGGUUGGAAACCAUUCGAAGAGU